GAUGAACGCUAGCGGCAGGCUUAAUACAUGCAAGUCGUGGGGCAGCAGGUCCCGCAGCAAUGCGGGAUGCUGGCGACCGGCAAACGGGUGCGGAACACGUACACAACCUUCCUUUAAGUGGGGCAUAGCCUAAGGAAACUUGGAUUAAUACCCCGUAACAUAUUGAAAAGGCAUCUUUUUAAUAUUAUAGCAGCAAUGCGCUUGAAGACGGGUGUGCGUCGAUUAGGUAGUUGGCGGGUAACGGCCCACCAAGCCUUCGAUCAGUAACUGGUGUGAGAGCACGACCAGUCACACGGGCACUGAGACACGGGCCCGACUCCUACGGGAGGCAGCAGUAAGGAAUAUUGGUCAAUGGACGCAAGUCUGAACCAGCCAUGCCGCGUGGAGGAUGAAGGUCCUCU
Molecule: ribosomal RNA, 401 nt
Filed under: uncultured bacterium
Lineage: Bacteria
Description: bacterial SSU rRNA
Rfam family: Bacterial small subunit ribosomal RNA
Source: RNAcentral